GACGAACGCUGGCGGCGUGCUUAACACAUGCAAGUCGAACGAAGAGCGAUGGAAGCUUGCUUCUAUCAAUCUUAGUGGCGAACGGGUGAGUAACGCGUAAUCAACCUGCCCUUCAGAGGGGGACAACAGUUGGAAACGACUGCUAAUACCGCAUACGAUCUAAUCUCGGCAUCGAGGAUAGAUGAAAGGUGGCCUCUACAUGUAAACUAUCACUGAAGGAGGGGAUUGCGUCUGAUUAGCUAGUUGGAGGGGUAACGGCCCACCAAGGCGAUGAUCAGUAGCCGGUCUGAGAGGAUGAACGGCCACAUUGGGACUGAGACACGGCCCAGACUCCUACGGGAGGCAGCAGUGGGGAAUCUUCCGCAAUGGACGAAAGUCUGACGGAGCAACGCCGCGUGAGUGAUGACGGCCUUCGGGUUGUAAAGCUCUGUUAAUCGGGACGAAAGGCCUUCUUGCGAAUAGUGAGAAGGAUUGACGGUACCGGAAUAGAAAGCCACGGCUAACUACGUG
This 510-nucleotide ribosomal RNA is filed under the name uncultured bacterium. Its description in RNAcentral is "partial 16S ribosomal RNA". It matches the Rfam family "Bacterial small subunit ribosomal RNA", at positions 28 to 507 of the family's 1533-position model. The record is from RNAcentral.